Molecule: ribosomal RNA, 440 nt
Filed under: uncultured bacterium
Lineage: Bacteria
Description: partial 16S ribosomal RNA
Rfam family: Bacterial small subunit ribosomal RNA
Source: RNAcentral
CCUACGGGAGGCAGCAGUGGGGAAUAUUGCACAAUGGGGGAAACCCUGAUGCAGCGACGCCGCGUGAGCGAUGAAGUAUUUCGGCAUGUAAAGCUCUAUUAGCAGGGAAGAAAAUGACGGUACCUGACCAAGCAGCCCCGUCUAACUACGGGCCAGCCGCCGUGGGUAUGUGGAGGGGGCCAGCGUGAUCCGGAUUUACUGGGGGUAAAGGGUGCUGAGACGGUUCUGCAAGUCAGCCGUGAAAGCCUGGGGCUCAACCCCGGGCCUGCGGUUGGAACUGGACGGCUCGAGUGUGGGAGAGGCAGGCGGAAUUCCUGGUGUAGCGGUGAAAUGCAUAGAUAUUGGGAAGAACACCAGUGGCGAAGGCGGCCUGCUGGACGGUGACUGACGUUGAGGCACGAAAGCGUGGGGAGCAAACAGGAUUAGAUACCCUAGUAGUC